AACGAACGCUGGCGGCAUGCCUAACACAUGCAAGUCGAACGAGACCUUCGGGUCUAGUGGCGCACGGGUGCGUAACGCGUGGGAAUCUGCCCUUGGGUUCGGAAUAACAGUUGGAAACGACUGCUAAUACCGGAUGAUGACGUAAGUCCAAAGAUUUAUCGCCCAAGGAUGAGCCCGCGUAGGAUUAGCUAGUUGGUGAGGUAAAGGCUCACCAAGGCGACGAUCCUUGGCUGGUCUGAGAGGAUGAUCAGCCACACUGGGACUGAGACACGGCCCAGACUCCUACGGGAGGCAGCAGUGGGGAAUAUUGGACAAUGGGCGAAAGCCUGAUCCAGCAAUGCCGCGUGAGUGAUGAAGGCCUUAGGGUUGUAAAGCUCUUUUACCCGGGAUGAUAAUGACAGUACCGGGAGAAUAAGCUCCGGCUAACUCCGUG
RNAcentral lists this ribosomal RNA (433 nucleotides) under uncultured bacterium. Its description in RNAcentral is "partial 16S ribosomal RNA". It matches the Rfam family "Bacterial small subunit ribosomal RNA", at positions 29 to 507 of the family's 1533-position model. The record is from RNAcentral.